Molecule: ribosomal RNA, 683 nt
Filed under: Lentzea sp. HJ3
Lineage: Bacteria; Bacillati; Actinomycetota; Actinomycetes; Pseudonocardiales; Pseudonocardiaceae
Description: bacterial SSU rRNA
Rfam family: Bacterial small subunit ribosomal RNA
Source: RNAcentral
GCCCUUCGGGGUACACGAGCGGCGAACGGGUGAGUAACACGUGGGUAACCUGCCCUGUACUCUGGGAUAAGCCCGGGAAACUGGGUCUAAUACCGGAUAUGACACUUGAAGGCAUCUUCGGGUGUGGAAAGUUCCGGCGGUACAGGAUGGACCCGCGGCCUAUCAGCUUGUUGGUGGGGUAAUGGCCUACCAAGGCGACGACGGGUAGCCGGCCUGAGAGGGUGACCGGCCACACUGGGACUGAGACACGGCCCAGACUCCUACGGGAGGCAGCAGUGGGGAAUAUUGCACAAUGGGCGAAAGCCUGAUGCAGCGACGCCGCGUGAGGGAUGACGGCCUUCGGGUUGUAAACCUCUUUCAGCAGGGACGAAGCGCAAGUGACGGUACCUGCAGAAGAAGCACCGGCUAACUACGUGCCAGCAGCCGCGGUAAUACGUAGGGUGCGAGCGUUGUCCGGAAUUAUUGGGCGUAAAGAGCUCGUAGGCGGUUUGUCGCGUCGGCCGUGAAAACUUGGGGCUUAACCCCGAGCCUGCGGUCGAUACGGGCAGACUUGAGUUCGGCAGGGGAGACUGGAAUUCCUGGUGUAGCGGUGAAAUGCGCAGAUAUCAGGAGGAACACCGGUGGCGAAGGCGGGUCUCUGGGCCGAUACUGACGCUGAGGAGCGAAAGCGUGGGGAGCGAACA